UACGUAGGGCGCAAGCGUUGUCCGGAAUUAUUGGGCGUAAAGAGCUCGUAGGCGGCUUGUCACGUCGGGUGUGAAAGCCCGGGGCUUAACCCCGGGUCUGCAUUCGAUACGGGCUAGCUAGAGUGUGGUAGGGGAGAUCGGAAUUCCUGGUGUAGCGGUGAAAUGCGCAGAUAUCAGGAGGAACACCGGUGGCGAAGGCGGGUCUCUGGGCAGUAACUGACGCUGAGGAACGAAAGCGUGGGUAGCGAACAGG
Molecule: ribosomal RNA, 253 nt
Filed under: uncultured bacterium
Lineage: Bacteria
Description: partial 16S ribosomal RNA
Rfam family: Bacterial small subunit ribosomal RNA
Source: RNAcentral